This 675-nucleotide long non-coding RNA is filed under the name Rattus norvegicus (Norway rat). Its description in RNAcentral is "long non-coding RNA NONRATT025516". Lineage: Eukaryota; Metazoa; Chordata; Mammalia; Rodentia; Muridae. The record is from RNAcentral.
UUUGGCUCCUGCGUGACAAACAGGUUAAUUGCUUUUGUUAAAAAUUGAGUGGGUGCUGUGCGGUUGAUGGUUGUGAGACAACAAUACCAGUCAGUUAGGACAACUGGUGAGACCAAAUACGAGACUUGAUAUCAAAAUUCUAAGAUUAGAAUUAUUUAGUAGGAGAAGACGGGAAUGAAAAGAAAAUUAUACAAAUUCUAGGUUUAGAAAUAUAAAAAUUAAAAGAAUAAACCCCAAAAGGCCACAGACCCAGGGCUAAGCCCUGCAGCCAGGACUAGCAGGCCAUAAAGAUAAAAGAGCACAAGAAACACUGUCCAGGCAGGACUGACAAGCCAUAAAGAAAAGGAAUGCAGGAACCAGCCUGAGUUAAUGGGACUGAUUCAUGGGACGUCUGGCAGAAAGACAUCUCCCCCCAGCUCACUCAGAGCCAUCCUCCAGACCCUGAUAAGCCCCUGACUUCUAACACGUACUCUUUCUGCUUUGUUCUCACUGCUAUGUUUGAAUGAGCCAAUUGUAUGUAACCAUGCCAAAACCCCCUAGCCUUCUCUAUAUAAUCCUCUGACUUUUGAGUUUCGGGGCCGACACCUCUGUCUCCUGCGCGGGAUACGUGUCGGCCCGGAGAUCUCUGUAAUAGGUCUCCGUAAUAAACCUCGCCUUUGCUUAUUACAUCCAAAA